AGUUUAAUGCUGGUAGUAUCGUAGCCUAUGAGGUAAAUCCGAGGUGUGAUUAUUGCCACUUGAAACUUGCUGUAAGAGCAGCAGCUCUCUAAAGCAUAUACACUCUUUUUAUUAAGAGUUAAUUUGCUGAACUUUACUAAUCAU
This is a small nuclear RNA of Polyodon spathula (Mississippi paddlefish), 144 nucleotides long. RefSeq annotates it as U4 spliceosomal RNA. Lineage: Eukaryota; Metazoa; Chordata; Actinopteri; Acipenseriformes; Polyodontidae. The record is from RefSeq and is a predicted model, not a curated record. The transcript has a single exon.